Rhopilema esculentum is the source of this 2150-nucleotide non-coding RNA. Lineage: Eukaryota; Metazoa; Cnidaria; Scyphozoa; Rhizostomeae; Rhizostomatidae. The record is from RefSeq and is a predicted model, not a curated record.
UAGACUUUAAAGGGGAACUGAAGUGAAAAAUGAAAAUCAUUUAAUUAGUAGUUUUCAUCGUGCUGAUUUCGAAUAUCGACACGAAAUUAGUGUUUUACUUUUCGUUUUCCUGCAUUUAACGCGGAAAGUGUGAAAUUUCUCCAUUUCCGUGGCGGAGAGGUCUGGAGACAAGUUUCAGGCGCUGACGUAAAGUCGUGGACACGUGCCCCGAACCUAACGAAAACAACAGUGUAGUAGAGUGAAUCGGAGGGAGGGAAUUUGGUUAGUAGGUAAAAUUUCAGAUCGCAAUUUUCACGACAGCUCUUCAGGAAUGACAACAGACUUAAGAUCGAGCGACGAUGAAGUGUUUGGAGCAUGUGGUGGUGAAGUACUUGCCCUACCAAGGGCGAACGGGACCUGCGAAAGUGGCGAUGAAGAUUAGCCUAGGCCCGAUGAGAUCCCAGAGGAUGAGGAUGAAUUAUCUCCCGCGACGUGCUCGUUUUGUUGGUAGAAAUGAGGAAGUAAAUAAAUGGUAUCUACAAACAGUGGCCGAUCAAUGUAUGGUUUGCUGGUUUUUGGGUAUUUGUGCUGGAAUAACUGGACAACUUUAAGUAUGCAUUUAUCACAAAUGUAAAGAAAAGAACUUUAGUCAAAGAAGACAAGAGUUUCAAAAUUCUGCAGAGAGACAAUGAAAAUGCAAAAAUCAGCUACCUACUACAUAUACAGUGGAGAACAUGGUUAUAUACACGGGGUUAUUCAAAAGGAUCAGACUUUUAGUUCAUAAUAGCAAGAAGAGAAAUUUGUUGAAACUAGUGGGACAAUGGCCAAAUCUUGUCAGCCCUAGGCCAAAUCACUAGAUUAGUCACAUCAAGGGGGGGGGGGGAUUGAGCAAGGCUUGAUAUUUUUAAGAUUCCUAAGGUGUACUUUUCAACAUAGUUCACUCACAUCAAAAUGUGUAGAAUAGUUUGGAUUUGAUCAAGAUUUUCUCUUACAAUAAUGGUCCUGUACCACCUUCUUGGUAACAUUUUUUAUAAAUAAUCAGAGGAAAAUGUUUUACCUUCAGGGUACAAUGUUCUGUUAAUGUAUUCUGUCACUGCCUGUUGUUUAGAUACACUGUUUUUAAAUUUUGAGAAUGAAGUUUUUUUGUGCCCAAUGGUUGUAUUUUUCUGAAAUUCGCUUCAACUCAACAUUUAAUAAACUUGGAAACAUAUACAUCAUUUAAUGGUUGUGCUUUAAAUCUUCCCCCUUUAUGUACAUCCUGGUAUGAAUUGUUUUUUAUGCCUGGAGUUAAAUCAGAAAGUGCUUUGAUAUCAUAUUCUGUAGACAAAGCAUGAGAAAUCAUGUUUGAAGGGGUAUUUCUGAAGUGGGGGACCACUUUUAUCAUUUUCUGCAAGUAAAUUGUGUUUGGUUUGCCAAGUUUCAUGGCUGUAUAGUUAACAUACUAACGUAUUCUGAGUACUGGGCACAAGUAUCAAGUCUAAAAAUAGUACAAGGGGCAUUUCUGAGGGUGGGGACCAUUCUUAUCAUUUUCAGCAAGCCAAAUUGUGUCGGUUUGCCAAGUUUCGUGGCUGUAUAGUUAACAGAAAUAGAUUGACCAUACUGACGUAUUUUGAGUACUGGGCACAAGUACCCCAGUCUAAAAAUAGCACAAGGGGCAUUUCUGAGGGUGGGGACCAUUCUUAUCAUUUUCAGCAAGUCAAAUUGUGUCGGUUUGCCAAGUUUCAUGGCUGUAUAGUUCACAGAAAUAGAUUGACCAUGCCAACAUAUUCUGAGUACUGGGCACAAGUACCCCAGGCUAAAAAUAGCACAAGGGUUUUUUUCCCAAAAUGGGUCUAUAUUCUAUCUUGUUACGCAUAUCGAAUUCUGUAUUUUCACCAAGUUUCAUGCUUUUAUCACAAUUUUCACGAUUGUUACCUGUCAUGAACCUUAUCAAACUCACUACUACAUUUCAUCAAAACAUCUCUUCGUGUCCACCACUUUACGUCACAAGGUCACGUGACACAGUGGUCUGACCGCGUUCUCGCUCCGCCAUCGAUGAGGGCAAAUUUCGACUUUAAAAACUUAAUAACUUAAAAACUACAUAACGUAUUUAAAAAAUUCAAACGGCUUUUGAAUCAGCACGGGAACCUUUAUCAGUGGUAAAAAAAUCGUUUUUCACUUCAGUUCCCCUU